This 3445-nucleotide long non-coding RNA is filed under the name Marmota monax (woodchuck). The record is from RNAcentral. Lineage: Eukaryota; Metazoa; Chordata; Mammalia; Rodentia; Sciuridae.
UACAAAUCCUGUGCCCAUUCUUAAAUUGGGUUGUCUUUCUAUUAUUAUAUUAGCUGUUUAUUUUUAACCAAUAUCCUAUUCUAGGUACAAGUCCUUUAUCAAAUAUAUGAUUUUCAACUAUUUUGUCUUUUCAUCUUUUCAAUAGAAUCAUUGAAGCACAAAUUUAAAAAUGUUGAUGAAGUCCAAUUUAUCUGGUUUUUCUUGAUUCUCAUGCUUUUGAUGCUUUUGUGUAAGGGUUCUUUGUCAAAUACAAAGUCAUAAAAUUUAUACCCAUGUUUUCUUCUGAGAGUUUUAUAGUUGUGGUCUUCUCUUCAGGUCUUUGAAUCAUUUUGAUUUAAUUUUUUGUAUAUGAUAAGGAUAAGGACCCAACUUCAUUCUUUUGUAUUUGGUUAUUCAGCUGCCCUAGCACAAUUUGUUGAAAAGAUUAUGCAUUGAUCAUCGAAUUGUCUUGGUGCCCUUGUUGAAGGUCAAUUUAUCAUAAAUGUAUAAGUUUAUUUCUGGGUUUUCAUUUUCAUUCCAUUCAUCUAUAUGCUUGUCCUUAAGCCAAUACUGCCCAGUCAUUAUUACUAUAUCUUAGUAGUGAGUUUUGAAAUUGACAUGUGUAAAUCCUCUAACUUUGCUCUUCCUUUUCAAAAUUGUUUUGGCUUUUCUAGUUUCCUUAUAUUUACAUACGGAUUUUAGGAUCAGAUUGUCAAUUUCUGUGAAAACAGCAAGAAGGGAUUUUGAUAGAGAUUGUACUGAAUCUUAGAUCAAUUUAUACAGUAUUGCCUUCCAAUUCACGAACACAGGGUAUCUUCCAAGUUAUUUGAUGUUCUUUAAAUUCCUAACUAUAAAAGAUUAAUAUGCAGAUUUUGCACUUGAUUGGUUAAAUUCAUUUUUAAGAAUUUUUUUGUUUGAUGUGAUUAUACAUAGAAUUAUUUUCUUAAAUUUUGGACUGUUUAUUUGUGUUGUUUAAAAAUACAAUUGAUUUUUUAUAUUGAUCCUGAAUCUUGCAACCUUGGUGAACUCAUAUAUUAGCUCUUGUAUCUUCUUGUGCAUUAUGCCUUUUAUGAUCUUAUCUUGAAGGGCAUAAAGGUCACUUCUCCAUAUUAUCUAUUAUUAAAAGUUAGUCAUGGAGUCCAGCAUACACUUGAGGAGACGGAUUUCAGACUCCACUUUUUGAAAUAGGAGUGUCAAAGAAUUUAUGGACAUAAUUUGAAGCUAUCACAAUAGUGUCCAAAUGAUUGACUGCCUGAUACAAAAUUGCUACCCAGCCCUUACUCCUAAUGUCUGCUUGAGUUCCAUUUGGUCCUAGUCCUCUACUCUAGAGGGCAGAAACUAGUAAAGGGGUGAAUUUCAAAGUUCUCUUUGAGAAUGCUGCAUUUGUGUAUAAUAGAGAUGGAUGGCUUCUUACUACAGAUUGAAAUCAGAAGAAAGAUUUUGAACAAGAUUUUGAAAGAUUUGAACCAGGUGUCGUGCCCUUAUAGAAAAUUAUUGAAUUGUAUCAGCAUGACCAAUAAAUCCAACUUCUAAAAAUAAUGUUAGUGGGAAGUCAGGCCUGAUUACAGUAGGAAUAAAUUCACUGCUUAUUUAUGGUUUUUCUCCUUUCUCUCUCCUUCCCUGGAAAACUUUCUCCUUCUCUCCUUUCUCUCUUUCUGAAAAGAACUUAUAAUGUUUAAUGAAUCCUACCUCUAUUUGAUCACUAGCACAGAGGCUGUCCCAUAUCCUUGAACUCCUCCUUAGGUCUUCUGUGUAAGAACCUUCACAAUUACUGGAUGCUUCAUGAGAUUUCUUCUCACUUUGUGGUAGACUGGCUGUGUCCAUCAAAGAUGGCGACUAUUGUUUCAGCAGCAUUGACUCUUGUCUGCUUCACCAAGGAUCUACAGUAUGUUCACAGAGAAAUUCUGGUUCUUUUUCAGGAGGUAAAACUUCAUACUGCUCUUCCAAGUGACCAGAGUGUUAUUUGUGUUAUUGAUGCAUGCCACCAGCAUUCUCUCAGCCUCUUAGGAGCUUCCAGUGUUGGGCAAAGUGAUCAUAGCUGUGGUUCACAAAUCCCUGAAUUUCAUGGCCUUAGUCUAGAUGUCAUGACCCAUGAUGGGGUGAAAGAGCUUGGAUAGGUAUUCUACAAGAACAAUUUCAAAGUUAAAUUUGUUCAAAAAUAAUCAUAAUAAGUCUCUUGGAAUUAAACUUAACAUAAAAAGUGCUUCUAAUUAUAAACAAUAAAUGAUACUUAACACUGUUUAUGUGGUAAAUAUUUCUACAUAACAGUUUAAUUCAUAACUGAAACAUCACACAACUUGACAUUUACUACUUCCUUAAUUCUUAUACUCUCUUUUGAACACUUCUUAAAUACUACAUAUACUUCACAAUAAUUCUAUUAUUUCUCGAGAAUAAGAAAAUCCAAUAUUCUUGACCACUGAACUAAAAAGGAAUUUUUUGGAAGUGAUUUAAGAUAGUGUUUGGCUCUUCAUGAUUGCUACUCCUGGUUACUCAUAAACUUUUCCAAAAACUACCAGAUUCCACAGAUGAGAGUGUGGGGCAAAUUCAAGGAGACUAAACAAACAAAGAAAAUGACCCAAAGGUGUCAUUAAAAGCAUCUAUCUUAUUUUCUGUUUUUUAAGUUAUAAAAGAUAUUUUUCUUUCUUUCAUGCUUUUACCUUUCCCCUCCAUCAAAGUAAAUAAAAUAAGUAAGAAAAUGCUAAAUUAAUUGUUCAAGGGGGUGAUUCUAAGGAUUGAGGGAAGGACAGAACCCAUUAUAGGAAUUACUAGAGGCUCUUGGUAGGCAUUUUCAAAUAACAAUUCUAACAGGCUUUUUUUUAGGAGACAUCAAGUCCAGGUGAGUCACUGUUAAUGACUCAUUCAUCCAGUAAAUAUGUAUUGAGCACCUACUAAGUGCCAGAUACUGUACCAGACAAAAGACUCAAUGAGCAAAAUCAGACGGGAACACCUUCUUUCUUUAUAAUUUUUUAGUUGUAGUUGGACACAAAGGUAUUUUACUUUUAUUUUUUAAUUUAUUUUUAUGUGGUGCUGAGGAUCGAACCCAGGGCCUCAACAUGUGCUAGGCUAGUCCUCUACCACUGAGCCACAACCCCAGCCCCCAGGAACACCUUCUUUAUGGAGGUUUUGAUUUGGAGGUGAAGGAAGAGGAGACAAACAUUGAUCUAAUAAUCACACAGGGAAAUGUAGGAUUAUAACUGUGAUCAGUUCUAAGAAGGACAGAGCCCAGUAGUAUGAGGAAUGUAACCUCACCUGUGGAAGGGUGGGUUGGUGGUGGAAAGCCUCCACAAAGAGACAGGAUGAAUUUGCAGGAAAGUGAGAAAAACUUUCCUGGAAAAAUAGGAUGUGGUUCAGGUGCAGAGAGGAUAGGGAAGUUGUAUGAAAUAGAGCUGGAGAGAUUGGAAGGAGCUCAUUGUGGAAAGCCUUCUAGACAAUAUAUUAUUUCAGUCAAAGGUGGGGUGAAAAGGUC